AGAGUUUGAUCAUGGCUCAGGAACAACGCUGGCGGCGUGCGUAAUGCAUGCAAGUCGUACGGGAGCCGCUUUGGCGGUCGACCGUGGCGGACGGGUGAGUAACACGUGGGUAACCUGCCCCGGCGCGGGGGAUAACCGCGGGAAACCGUGGCUAAUACCCCAUGGGCUCGGUUGGGGGGUGGCCUGAUCGAGCAAAGGCGGAAGCCGUGCCGGGAGGGGCCUGCGGCCUAUCAGCUAGACGGUGGGGUAAUGGCCUACCGUGGCGAUGACGGGUAGCUGGUCUGAGAGGACGAUCAGCCACACGGGGACUGAGACACGGCCCCGACUCCUACGGGAGGCAGCAGCAAGGAAUUUUCCGCAAUGGGCGCAAGCCUGACGGAGCGACGCCGCGUGGAGGAUGACGCCCUUCGGGGUGUAAACUCCUUUUCGGGGGGACGAAGGCAGUGACGGUACCCCCGGAAGAAGCACCGGCUAACUACGUGCCAGCAGCCGCGGUAAGACGUAGGGUGCGAGCGUUGUCCGGAGUUACUGGGCGUAAAGGGCGCGUAGGCGGCUGCCCGCGUCGCACGUGAAAGCCCCCGGCUCAACCGGGGAGGGUCGUGCGAGACGGGGUGGCUAGAGGCAGGGAGAGGCUGGUGGAAUUCCCGGUGUAGCGGUGAAAUGCGUAGAGAUCGGGAGGAACACCGGUGGCGAAGGCGGCCAGCUGGCCCUGACCUGACGCUGAGGCGCGAAGGCGCGGGGAGCGAACGGGAUUAGAUACCCCGGUAGUCCGCGCAGUAAACGCUGUGGACUAGGUGUGGGAGGUGUUGACCCCUUCCGUGCCGGCGCUAACGCAGUAAGUCCACCGCCUGGGGAGUACGGCCGCAAGGCUAAAACUCAAAGGAAUUGACGG
This 892-nucleotide ribosomal RNA is filed under the name uncultured bacterium. RNAcentral describes it as "bacterial SSU rRNA". It matches the Rfam family "Bacterial small subunit ribosomal RNA", at positions 8 to 916 of the family's 1533-position model. The record is from RNAcentral.